UACGGAGGGGGCGAGCGUUAUUCGGAGUUAUUGGGCGUAAAGGGCGCGUAGGCGGCUUUACAAGUCAAAGGUGAAAUCCCUCGGCUCAACUGAGGAACUGCCUUUGAAACUGUAAGGCUUGAGUCCGGGAGGGGGUAGCGGAAUUCCCAGUGUAGCGGUGAAAUGCGUAGAUAUUGGGAGGAACACCAGUGGCGAAGGCGGCUACCUGGACCGGAACUGACGCUGAUGCGCGAAAGCGUGGGUAGCAAACAGG
RNAcentral lists this ribosomal RNA (253 nucleotides) under uncultured bacterium. RNAcentral's name for it is "partial 16S ribosomal RNA". It matches the Rfam family "Bacterial small subunit ribosomal RNA", at positions 524 to 776 of the family's 1533-position model. The record is from RNAcentral.